GCCUUCGUGGUGCAGUGGUCAGCACUCUCGGCGCGUAUUCGAGAGGCCCGUGGUUCGAGUCCCGGCUAGCGCA
Molecule: non-coding RNA, 73 nt
Organism: Stegodyphus mimosarum
Lineage: Eukaryota; Metazoa; Arthropoda; Arachnida; Araneae; Eresidae
Source: Rfam